UAGUUCGUAGCUCAGUAUCCAGAUUAUAAUCGGAUGUACCUCUAUUUCCGAUCUGGAAGGUUCAAUCUGGAAGAUUAUGAAAAUAUGGAUGAAGCUGCAA
Methanosarcina barkeri str. Fusaro is the source of this 100-nucleotide non-coding RNA. The record is from Rfam. NCBI's taxonomy places the organism in Archaea, Methanobacteriati, Methanobacteriota, Methanomicrobia, Methanosarcinales, Methanosarcinaceae.